This 253-nucleotide ribosomal RNA is filed under the name uncultured bacterium. Its description in RNAcentral is "partial 16S ribosomal RNA". It matches the Rfam family "Bacterial small subunit ribosomal RNA", at positions 524 to 776 of the family's 1533-position model. The record is from RNAcentral.
UACGUAGGAGGCAAGCGUUGUCCGGAAUCAUUGGGCGUAAAGCGCGUGUAGGCGGCCUUGUAAGUCCGUUCUGAAAGCCCGGGGCUCAACCCCGGGAGGCGGAUGGAUACUGCAAGGCUCGAGUCCGGAAGAGGCGAGUGGAAUUCCCGGUGUAGCGGUGAAAUGCGCAGAUAUCGGGAGGAACACCAAUGGCGAAGGCAGCUCGCUGGGACGGUACUGACGCUGAGACGCGAAAGCGUGGGGAGCAAACAGG